UGGGUGAUUUGCCGUGAAGUUGGGGAUAACUCGCUGAAAGGCGAGCUAAUACCGAAUGUGAAAAUCGGGAGGCAUCUUCUGAUUUUUAAAGUUGGGGACCGUAAGGCCUGACGCUUCACGAUAAGCCCGCGGCCUAUCAGCUAGUUGGUGAGGUAACGGCUCACCAAGGCUAAGACGGGUAGCUGGUCUGAGAGGACGACCAGUCACACUGGAACUGACACACGGUCCAGACACCUACGGGUGGCAGCAGUCGAGAAUUUUUCUCAAUGGGCGAAAGCCUGAAGGAGCGACGCCGCGUGGGGGAUNAAGGGCUUCGGCUCGUAAACCCCUGUCAUUUGCGAACAAACCUUAC
This 352-nucleotide ribosomal RNA is filed under the name uncultured bacterium. RNAcentral's name for it is "bacterial SSU rRNA". It matches the Rfam family "Bacterial small subunit ribosomal RNA", at positions 118 to 456 of the family's 1533-position model. The record is from RNAcentral.